CCUACGGGCGGCAGCAGUGAGGAAUAUUGGUCAAUGGACGCAAGUCUGAACCAGCCAAGUAGCGUGCAGGAUGACUGCCCUACGGGUUGUAAACUUCUUUUGUACGAGGGUAAACGCAGAUACGUGUAUCUGUCUGAAAGUAUCGUACGAAUAAGGAUCGGCUAACUCCGUGCCAGCAGCCGCGGUAAUACGGAGGAUUCAAGCGUUAUCCGGAUUUAUUGGGUUUAAGGGGUGCGUAGGCGGUCGGAUAAGUUAGAGGUGAAAUCCCGAGGCUCAACUUCGGAAUUGCAUUUGAUACUGUUCGACUAGAGUGUAGUUGCGGAAGGCGGAAUGUAUGGUGUAGCGGUGAAAUGCUUAGAGAUCAUGCAGAACACCGAUUGCGAAGGCAGCUUACCAGGCUACAUCUGACGUUGAGGCACGAAAGCGUGGGGAGCAAACAGGAUUAGAUACCCCAGUAGUC
RNAcentral lists this ribosomal RNA (460 nucleotides) under uncultured bacterium. RNAcentral's name for it is "partial 16S ribosomal RNA". It matches the Rfam family "Bacterial small subunit ribosomal RNA", at positions 338 to 795 of the family's 1533-position model. The record is from RNAcentral.